AACUACGGCCUUGCCAGUCUGAACACGCCUGAUCUUGUCUAAUCUUGGAAGCUAAGCUGAGUCGGGCCUGGUUAGUACUUGGACGGGAGACCACCUAGGAAGACCAGUUGCUGUAGACU
This 119-nucleotide ribosomal RNA is filed under the name Pteropus alecto (black flying fox). Lineage: Eukaryota; Metazoa; Chordata; Mammalia; Chiroptera; Pteropodidae. The record is from RNAcentral.